AAAAAAGUGAAAGAUCACCUUUGGAAGAACAUUAAAGAAGAUAAAUCUAUUGAAAUCUCCAACAUACUAUCAUUAAGCUACAAUGAUUUGUCAACUGCGCUCAAGCAGUGCUUUCUCUACUUUGGUAUUUUUCCAGAAGAUAAAGUGGUCAAGGCUGAUAACAUAAUAUGGUUGUGGAUGGCGGAGGGUUUCAUACCCAGAAGAAGAGUAGAAAGAAUGGAGGAUGUCGCUGAAGGCUUCUUGAAUGAACUGAUAAGAAGAAGCUUGGUUCAAGUGGUGGAUACAUUUUGGGAAAGAGUUACUGAAUGUAGGGUUCAUGAUUUACUCCAUGAUCUUGCGAUACAAAAGGCAUUGGA
This 356-nucleotide unclassified non-coding RNA is filed under the name Hevea brasiliensis (rubber tree). The record is from RNAcentral. Lineage: Eukaryota; Viridiplantae; Streptophyta; Magnoliopsida; Malpighiales; Euphorbiaceae.